This 950-nucleotide non-coding RNA is filed under the name Sander canadensis (sauger). Its description in RNAcentral is "12S ribosomal RNA". It matches the Rfam family "Bacterial small subunit ribosomal RNA". The record is from RNAcentral. Lineage: Eukaryota; Metazoa; Chordata; Actinopteri; Perciformes; Percidae.
CAAAGGCUUGGUCCUGACUUUACUAUCAAUUCUAGCUAAACUUACACAUGCAAGUAUCCGCAUCCCCGUGAGAAUGCCCUACAGUUCCCUGCCCGGGAACAAGGAGCUGGUAUCAGGCACAUCCCUACUUAGCCCAUGACGCCUUGCUUAGCCACACCCUCAAGGGAACUCAGCAGUGAUAAACAUUAAGCCAUGAGUGAAAACUUGACUUAGUCAAAGCUAAGAGGGCCGGUAAAACUCGUGCCAGCCACCGCGGUUAUACGAGAGGCCCAAGUUGAUAGCCAUCGGCGUAAAGCGUGGUUAAGAUAAAGACUAAAACUAAAGCCGAACACCCUCAGAGCUGUUAUACGCACCCGAAGGUAAGAAGUUCAAUCACGAAAGUGGCUUUAUAGACCCCGAACCCACGAAAGCUACGAUACAAACUGGGAUUAGAUACCCCACUAUGCCUAGCCAUAAACAUUGGUAGUACAUUACAUCCACUACCCGCCUGGGAACUACGAGCAUUAGCUUGAAACCCAAAGGACUUGGCGGUGCUUUAGAUCCCCCUAGAGGAGCCUGUUCUAGAACCGAUAACCCCCGUUCAACCUCACCUUUCCUUGUUUACCCCGCCUAUAUACCGCCGUCGUCAGCUCACCCUGUGAAGGUUUAAUAGUGAGCAAAAUUGGUACAACCCAAAACGUCAGGUCGAGGUGUAGCGUAUGGAAAGGGAAGAAAUGGGCUACAUUUCCUACUUUCAGGAAAUACGAACGAUGUACUGAAAUGUAUGUCCGAAGGAGGAUUUAGCAGUAAGCAGGAAAUAGAGCGUCCUGCUGAAAUUGGCUCUGAAGCGCGUACACACCGCCCGUCACUCUCCCCAAGCCUACCAAACUAAAAUAAUUAAAACCUUAUAAUAGCGAAGGGGAGGCAAGUCGUAACAUGGUAAGUGUACCGGAAGGUGCACUUGGAAAAAU